This 62-nucleotide microRNA precursor is filed under the name Mus musculus (house mouse). Its description in RNAcentral is "Mmu-Mir-28_pre stem-loop". The record is from RNAcentral. Lineage: Eukaryota; Metazoa; Chordata; Mammalia; Rodentia; Muridae.
AAGGAGCUCACAGUCUAUUGAGUUGCCUUUCUGAUUCUCCCACUAGAUUGUGAGCUGCUGGA